This 440-nucleotide ribosomal RNA is filed under the name uncultured bacterium. RNAcentral describes it as "partial 16S ribosomal RNA". It matches the Rfam family "Bacterial small subunit ribosomal RNA", at positions 338 to 795 of the family's 1533-position model. The record is from RNAcentral.
CCUACGGGUGGCAGCAGUGGGGAAUAUUGCACAAUGGGGGGAACCCUGAUGCAGCGACGCCGCGUGAGUGAAGAAGUAUUUCGGUAUGUAAAGCUCUAUCAGCAGGGAAGAAAGUGACGGUGCCUGACUAAGAAGCCCCGGCUAACUACGUGACAGCAGCCGCGGUAAUACGUAGGGGGCAAGCGUUAUCCGGAUUUACUGGGUGUAAAGGGGGCGCAGACGGCUGUGCAAGGCUGGAGUGAAAGGCGGGGGCCCAACCCCCGGACUGCUCUGGAAACUGUAAAGCUGGAGUGCAGGAGAGGUAAGCGGAAUUCCUAGGGUAGCGGUGAAAUGCGUAGAUAUUAGGAGGAACACCAGUGGCGAAGGCGGCUUACUGGACUGCAACUGACGUUGAGGCUCGAAAGCGUGGGGAGCAAACAGGAUUAGAUACCCGGGUAGUC